This 255-nucleotide ribosomal RNA is filed under the name Clostridioides difficile. Its description in RNAcentral is "partial 16S ribosomal RNA". It matches the Rfam family "Bacterial small subunit ribosomal RNA", at positions 327 to 599 of the family's 1533-position model. The record is from RNAcentral. Lineage: Bacteria; Bacillati; Bacillota; Clostridia; Peptostreptococcales; Peptostreptococcaceae.
CGGUCCAAACUCCUACGGGAGGCAGCAGUGGGGAAUAUUGCACAAUGGGCGAAAGCCUGAUGCAGCAACGCCGCGGGAGUGAUGAAGGCCUUCGGGUCGUAAAACGCUGUCCUCAAGGAAGAUAAUGCCGGUACUUGAGGAGGAAGCCCCGGCUAACUACGUGCCAGCAGCCGCGGUAAGACGUAGGGGGCUAGCGUUAUCCGGAUUUACUGGGCGUAAAGGGGGCGUAGGCGGUCUUUCAAGUCAGGAGUGAAA